Molecule: ribosomal RNA, 442 nt
Filed under: uncultured bacterium
Lineage: Bacteria
Description: bacterial SSU rRNA
Rfam family: Bacterial small subunit ribosomal RNA
Source: RNAcentral
CUACGGGAGGCAGCAGUUGGGAAUCUUGCACAAUGGGGGAAACCCUGAUGCAGCGACGCCGCGUGGAGGACGAAGGGUCUAGGUCUGUAAACUCCUUUUUCACGGAAAGACUUAGGACGGUACCGUGAGAAUAAGCCCCGGCUAACUACGUGCCAGCAGCCGCGGUAAGACGUAGGGGGCGAGCGUUGUCCGGAUUUACUGGGCGUAAAGAGCGCGUAGGCGGCUCGUUAAGUGUGAAGUGAAAUCUCCAGGGCUCAACCCGGAAACUGCUUCGCAUACUGGCGAGCUCGAGGAAUGCAGAGGUAAGUAGAAUUCCUGGUGUAGCGGUGAAAUGCGUAGAUAUCAGGAGGAAUACCGACGGCGAAGGCAGCUUACUGGGCAUUAUCUGACGCUGAGGCGCGAAAGCGUGGGUAGCAAACAGGAUUAGAUACCCUAGUAGUCC